CUCUCUCUCCCCCUCUCUAUCUUUCUCCCCCCUCUCUCUCUCUCUCCCUUUACCCCUCUCUCCCUCUCGCUCUCUCUCUCCCUCUCUCCUCCCCCCCCUCAAACACAUACACACACAGGCCAUCACAUAAGACACACACACACAGGCCAUCACAUAAGACACACACACACACACACACACAGGCCAUCACAUAAGACACACCCACAUACAGGCCAUCACAUAAGACACACACACACACACAUACAGGCCAUCACAUAGGACACACACACACACAGGCCAUCACAUAAGACACACACACACAGGCCAUCACAUAGGACACACACACGCACAUACACACACUCUCGCAUAUUACACACACAGUGAGAGAGUGAGAGAGACAGAGAUAGAGGGAGAGAGAAGGGGGAGAGAGCAUCACCUAUUAUAAACACACACACACACACAGGCCAUCACUUACGUAAGACACACACACACACACACACACACACACACACACACAG
Long non-coding RNA from Clupea harengus (Atlantic herring), 497 nucleotides. The record is from Ensembl. NCBI's taxonomy places the organism in Eukaryota, Metazoa, Chordata, Actinopteri, Clupeiformes, Clupeidae.